GUAACACGUAGUCAACCUGCCCUGGAGACAUGGAAAACCCCGGGAAACUGGGAUUAAUGCGGGAUAGGUCACCUCAUCUGGAAGGAGAGAUGGCUUAAAGGGGUGCGAGAGCUUCUUUCUUGCAUUCGCUCCAGGAUGGGACUGCGGCCGAUCAGGCUGUUGGCGGUGUAAUGGACCACCAAACCUGUAACCGGUACGGGCCUUGAGAGAGGGGGCCCGGAGAUGGACACUGAGAGAAGGGUCCAGGUCCUACGGGGCGCAGCAGGCGCGAAACCUUCGCAAUGCGCGAAAGCGUGACGAGGUUAAUCCGAGUGGUCCCCGCUGAGGGGAUCUUUUGUUGGCUGUAAAAAGGCCGAUGAAUAAGGGGAGGGCAAGUCUGGUGUCAGCCGCCGCGGUAAUACCAGCUCCUCGAGUGGUCGGGGCGAUUAUUGGGCCUAAAGCAUCCGUAGCCGGUUCUGUAGGUCCUCUGUCAAAUCCAACGGCUUAACCGUUGGCCCGCAGAGGAUACCGCAGGACU
This 517-nucleotide ribosomal RNA is filed under the name uncultured archaeon. RNAcentral describes it as "bacterial SSU rRNA". It matches the Rfam family "Archaeal small subunit ribosomal RNA", at positions 93 to 593 of the family's 1478-position model. The record is from RNAcentral.